GCGAGGGUAGCCAAGCUCGGCCAACGGCGACGGACUCAAGAUCCGUUCCUGUAGAGGUUCGAGGGUUCGAAUCCCUUCCCUCGCAC
This 86-nucleotide transfer RNA is filed under the name Halarchaeum rubridurum. RNAcentral describes it as "tRNA-Leu". It matches the Rfam family "tRNA". From Rfam's summary of the family: Transfer RNA (tRNA) molecules are approximately 80 nucleotides in length. Their secondary structure includes four short double-helical elements and three loops (D, anti-codon, and T loops). The record is from RNAcentral. Lineage: Archaea; Methanobacteriati; Methanobacteriota; Halobacteria; Halobacteriales; Halobacteriaceae. RNAcentral also lists the same sequence under 3 other names.